Melitaea cinxia (Glanville fritillary) is the source of this 246-nucleotide long non-coding RNA. RefSeq lists it as uncharacterized. The record is from RefSeq and is a predicted model, not a curated record. Lineage: Eukaryota; Metazoa; Arthropoda; Insecta; Lepidoptera; Nymphalidae. The transcript has 2 exons.
AAUAUUUGGCAUUUUGAUAAUUAUUUGCAUGUAACAUCUGUGUUCAAUCAGACAUAACGAGGGGUUUUUUGACAGUUGUGACAUCCAUGUGGAGUGACGUGUUUUUCGACCGUUAACAAAAAAAUUAAAAUUAAAAAACUAAUUGGAGGAUGUAAUUUAAUAAUCACAAAUAUGUAUUGAUGCGACUAUAUACAUGAAAAUACAAGAGGUUGGAGAACAAAAUGUAAAUUUAAAGAGCAAUAACUA